RNAcentral lists this ribosomal RNA (497 nucleotides) under uncultured bacterium. Its description in RNAcentral is "partial 16S ribosomal RNA". It matches the Rfam family "Bacterial small subunit ribosomal RNA", at positions 28 to 507 of the family's 1533-position model. The record is from RNAcentral.
GAUGAACGCUGGCGGCGUGCCUAAUACAUGCAAGUCGAGCGAACAGACGAGGAGCUUGCUCCUCUGACGUUAGCGGCGGACGGGUGAGUAACACGUGGAUAACCUACCUAUAAGACUGGGAUCACUUCGGGAAACCGGAGCUAAUACCGGAUAAUAUAUUGAACCGCAUGGUUCAAUAGAGAAAGACGGUUUUGCUGUCACUUAUAGAUGGAUCCGCGCCGCAUUAGCUAGUUGGUAAGGUAACGGCUUACCAAGGCAACGAUGCGUAGCCGACGUGAGAGGGUGAUCGGCCACAUUGGAACGGAGACACGGUCCAGACUCCUACGGGAGGCAGCAGUAGGGAAUCUUCCGCAAUGGGCGAAAGCUUGACGGAGCGACGCCGCGUGAGUGAUGAAGGUCUUCGGAUCGUAAAACUCUGUUAUUAGGGAAGAACAAAUGUGUAAGUAACUAUGCACGUCUUGACGGUACCUAAUCAGAAAGCCACGGCUAACUACGUG